CAAUCGGCCCUUUUCAGGGCCACCAAUUCUUCCUGAAAAAAGAUA
Molecule: non-coding RNA, 45 nt
Organism: Anopheles funestus (African malaria mosquito)
Lineage: Eukaryota; Metazoa; Arthropoda; Insecta; Diptera; Culicidae
Source: Rfam